AUCAGUCAAAUCCUUUCGCGGGCCGGAUUUAAUGUUUAAUGUUAAUGUUCCACCUCCUACUCCUACUCAAUACGUCCCCGUCGUACAGAACGGUAACAUUUCUCUCAAUUAUCCAAGCUUGGGUAUACGGGGAAACCCAACCCCUUGGGCGGAUGGGUUGCAUGGCUAAAUUGAGAGGG
Molecule: non-coding RNA, 179 nt
Organism: Anopheles gambiae str. PEST
Lineage: Eukaryota; Metazoa; Arthropoda; Insecta; Diptera; Culicidae
Rfam family: drz-agam-2-2 ribozyme
Source: Rfam